RNAcentral lists this long non-coding RNA (5814 nucleotides) under Solanum tuberosum (potato). RNAcentral describes it as "long non-coding RNA (STUB_LNC007801)". Lineage: Eukaryota; Viridiplantae; Streptophyta; Magnoliopsida; Solanales; Solanaceae. The record is from RNAcentral.
UUUAGGGUUCUUGAGAGAAAGGAGAGAAAGGAGAAGAAGAAGCAAGAUUUCGUCAAAAGAUCGUCGUGGAUAUCGUCGGGGGUGAUCCCUUUUAGGUAUGUGAGUUCAUAGUGUUGGGUUGGUUCUUUCCCCCACACGCCAAGCUCGUUUAAUUUCGAUAAAAGAUUGAUUGUGUUUGAUUGAAGUUGUUGGUUGGAAUUAUUGAAGUUGUAGUUGUGUUGUGUUGUAGUUCUUGUUGGUUUGGUGUAUGUUUCCGGUUUUUGAGUUGAAACUAGUGUAUGUUAAGGGUUUUGAUGAUCCUAAGUGCUUAGGGGUUGAAGCUUUGAAUAUUGGAAGGGUUAGAGUUGGAGAAAAGGAGGAGAAAAGUCAAGUUUUCGAGGAAAAGGGCUGGGGCGUCGCGCCAGCCAGCGCGCCCCAAGAGGGACUCUGAGGUCCAGCCCCUGGGGCGCCACCCCUACCAGAGCCCCAACCAGACCUCUCUGAAGUUUGAGGUCUAGCGCUCCACGCCUCUCAGAGUGCCAAGCUUUCCCAUUCCUUCUCCACUUUCUCAUACAUGUUGCUAGGUGUUGUACCUAUGUUCCCUAGUUGUUUCCAACACCCCAAGGUACGUUUAAACGUCAAGAACUCGUCCAUAACACGUGAUCAAAUACUUUAAAUCCAUGAUUCCAAUUCAAGGAGAGUAAGUUUCUAAGUCAAGGGAAGUUAAGAGUUGAGUCUAGAAGUUCAAGAAGGGAGUCAAAGCACGUCUUUAAAGCUUUCAAAGAGUCUUUGUUGAAUGUUUAACUUCAAGUUAAGUCAAGUUUCAAGUUAAGUCAAGUUGCAAGAUAAGUCAAGAGUUUAAAGUUGUGUUCAUUUCUCAAAAGUUAUUAGGGAACUAUGUAUUCCCAAAGAAGUUUCCAAAUGUUUUUACAUUUGAGUAAGAAAGGAACUAUGAUUCCAAAAGAGCCUUUGGGCUAGUUUUCAAGAAAAAGGAACAUUGUUUCCAAGUGAGCCUUCGGGCAAAGUUUUGAGUAAUUAUCUCAAAUAAAGAAAGAUGUGUUUAAAACACUUAUGAGCUUAAGUAUUUUUGGGAGUAGUCUUGAGCACCGAAUUGGGGACACGAGUUCAUAUAAACUCAACUCUCCAUAAGAACCAUGCGCCAACAUGGGAGUUAACGGGUCAUACAUUUUAGAUGAAUCCGUAAGAUUAAGCUAGUGGAUCCACUUAGUAAAGUUAUCUUCCUAUAUCAACGGCAAGGUAUAGGAUGGUCCUUGGGCAACGUGAGGUAAAACGUUGUAUCACCACUAGGGCUCAUGGUGGUGAUUGUCGGUUGAAAGAGUCUCCCACUAAAGUUAUAUUACUUUUAUAUAAGUAAAGUUGAGUUGUUAUUGCUUUAUCUUUAACAAGCUAAGUUGUCUACACUAUUUUGCAAGCUUUAUAUAUUGCAUGUGUCGUAUUGCUUUAUAUAUUGAGUUCAGUUAUUCAUGAGUUGAACAGAGCCAAGGUAAGAGUUCCUUUGUACUCCUUCCAAGUUUAAGUUAUGGUUUAGCUUUCCAUCUCGCAUACUCGUACAUUCAAUGUACUGAUGCCAGUUGGCUUGCAUCUUAUUAUGAUGCAAACACAAGUACCCAGGGCCAACAUCCGGUUUGCCGUUGAUCCAGUUGAGUACUUCAGAGUCAGUGGUGAGCCUCUUUGCAUUCCGGAGGACUCGGUUAUUUUGUUCCCUCAAGUUUUGUUUUAUUAGGAUGUCGUAGGGUCUGUCCCAACAUCCAUCUCAGUAUUUUAGAGGCUUCAUAGACAGUCAGUCAGUUGGUUUGGAGUCUCUCAUCUAUGUAUAUAUGUAAAUAUUCUAUUUUGAGACUCGAGUUGCCUUUUGGCCAGAUUUUAUUUCAGUCAGGUUGUUUUAAAACCUUGCAUUGCAUUGAGUUUUCCGCUGAGUUAAGAAAGCCAGGCCAAGGGUUCGCUUGGGGGCCAGUAAUGGUCUUCGAGUGCCAGCCAUGUCCAGGGUGUAGACUCGGGGCGUGACAGAAACUAAAUAUGAAUUUAUAUAGGCAAAAUUGAGGAAUACCAUAAGACAUCAUAAACUUACAAAUUAAUGUUUGGAGGUUAUGGACAUCAAAAUUAUGAGAGUCUUGAAUAUUAUUAAAAAUAAAAAUUAAAGAGGUGUAGGUCAUGGAUAAUUACUCCGUGUAAAUAAAUUAAAUAAUAAAGAGAAAAACACUUAAAAUAUUAAAAUAUAUUAUCAUUUUAUGAUUAGAAGUGAGGCUACAAAGAAAAAAAGAAUGUGAAGAGCCUUUGUUAUACUUUUUUUAGCCUAAUUUUCUAUACUUUUUUCACUAACAAAAUGAAAUUGAAUUGCACUUUCUAUAUAUAAAAAAUAGAAACAUGUAAUGAAAAUCCCGGAAAUUGAAGUAAAAAAAAUCAACGUGAAUAUUUUCAUUCGUUUGAACUUCGAAGAAAGCAAAACAAAUAAAAGAAGAAAAAUAAUCUAAUAACUUCACUUCCAUUUUCCUAUCUUCCUUAUCGGAUUUACACUCUCGCUGGAAAAUUCACAUGACCUUUAAUUUCUGUCCUCUUUCUCCUCAAUUUGGAAGUCCAAGUUCUUGCUAUGUGUAAGAUCAAAAGAGAGUCAUAGUGUAGUUUUAGUAGUACUUAAUAUUCUCUUCAAUGUUUGUUAUUUAACUUGAAAUAAGAAACGUUUAGGUGCCUUUUUGGCUCUUUAACUUAUAUCUCAAUAGUUACGUGAGAAAGACUUCAAGAAUUAAGAAAAACACUAUUUCAAAUAUGAAAUAAAAAGAAUAAUAUUGAGUAAGAGUUUGAUGAAAUAAAAAAAUAUAAAUUUAUGUAGACAAAAUGGGAGGAAUCUUUAAAGAAAAUAUAAAUAGUUCUAUGUGCAAAAAUAUUUUUGAACCUUUGUUAAUAGUUUUAUUACACACAGAGUUUCAAUAACUAAUUUGCAUCUAAACAAAAAUACAUACUUGCAGUAAUAAAAAAAUAUAAAAAUUCAAACUAAAGAAGUUACAUAGAGAAAACAUAAACACACACAUCUUCCUUAGGACCACAUCAUAAGAAAAUAAAUAAAAAUAAGAAUAAAGAAUCAAUGGCCACUUUUUUGAGCUCUUGUGUGACACCCUCUUUGACAAACUAAUCAAUAUUCAAGAGUCUUCUUCAUCUUGUCAAGUUAAAGCAUGAAUUUGACAAUAUAAUAAUACUACAAAGAACAAUGAAAUAUAAAGAAUAAUCAUAAGUUGGGAUUUCAUGAAACAAAAAACUUGUGAAUUUAUAUAGAUAAAUAUAGAGAGAUAUCAUAAAGUAUCUUAAAAUUUUAUAAUUUAAUGGUUGGAGGUUAUGAAUAUGAAAACUUAAAAGUCAUGAAAUUAAUAAUAUUAUUAAGAAUAGAAAUUUAAUAGAUUUAAGUUAUGAAAGUGAAACUUAAAAAAUUAAAUAAAAUAAGAAAAAAAGAACAAAUAAAGAAAGAUAAAAGAAAUACAUUUAUAUUAUAUAAAGAUAUAAAUUUCUUGAAUUGAAUAAACAAAAAAAAAAGUGAAAAAAGAACCAAGACAGGAAAGACCAUUAAAAAAAACAACAAUAAAAUUAACUAUCGGGAAUAGUUUGCCGGAUUUUUAAAAAAAACCAAAUGAAAAGAUUUGCAAUACUUGAUGAGAAAUAGAGAAAUAAUUAGGAAAAGAGACUAAUAGCAUUAAGGACAAAAUAAAUUAAAUAUGGCAAUUGAUAAAGAUAUAAUUAAAUAUGAUUAUCUUUAAUAUUUUUUAAAUUUAGGUGAAUUUUUUUUGUAUUUUAAAAUUAGAAAAAGGUAAAAAAAACUACAAAAAAGAUAAAUAGGAUUGAAGCUCAUAGAGAGCGCCAAAUCACCGUUUUUACAUUUAGCUUUAUUAUUAUAUAUAGAUUAAUAUUUUUCAUCCUUUCAUCCAAAAGAUAAUGUUUAUGCUUUUAUUAAAAAAUUGUUACAUGAAUACAAAAACUAAAUAAAAUAUAUCAUGAUUAUUAAAUAUCAUAAUAUCAUGGGUGAAAAUAAUCAUGAUAUAACUGCAUAAAAUAGUAGUAGUCAAAUUUAAAGUUUCGAAACAUUAUUAAUAAUGCUAAUUUAGUAAAAUACACAUCUAAAUAAUUUUUUAGAAGGGAGUCAUAUAAAGAACGGCCAAAUAGUAUGAAACACAUGGAGUAAGAGAGUGGAGAAAGACAAAAAAUAUACACAUAUAUGCAUGUAUACACAUGUUUAAUGCAUAUAUUAUUGAAAUAACGGUCAUAAGAAUAAUGUUAAAUUUUGUGACAGAUCAUAAAAAUAUUAUUCUACUAUAAUAUUAAUAAACUUAAAGAAAAAGUUAUAAAUACUUGGGUUAAAAAAUAGAUUCCGAAAGGUUAAAUGCCUAGAUAACCCUUUGAUUGACAUGUUUUGUAAGAUAAACCUCCAAACUAAGUGACCAAAUAGACAUUUGAACUUGACAGAAAUGCUCUAGCCACUUUAGGUUAACAUGGCAAAUGGUGUGUUUUACACUAACAUUGAGAGAGUGAGUUUCUAUCCUUUUUAAAUAAUAGGUUAGAACAGUCAAGUUGGUUCACUCGAUCAAGUUAAGGCAUCGGAUUCCAGUCACGACUCGACUAAAAAACAGGUUGUGACACUUUUAUAAUUAAUCUGAUAAUUUUCUACCACCAGAUAGUAAAAUAUUAGAAUUAAAUCUUGAAUUAGUUCCAACAUUACCUUAUCAUCUUCUAGUAGUCGUAGGAUUUUGUUGAGAUUUUUUGUUGCUGCUGACUGGCCUUCUAUUGAUGUUCCCGGGAUGAACUCAACUUUUAUAAUCUGAUAAUUUUCUACCACCAAAUUGGAUCCAAAGUUUUCUCCGACCUCUAUAAGCCUGUGAAGUUGAUCUUGAAUCUUCUGUGCUUGAGUGGAGACUUCCGAGCGAAGGCUGCAUUUUGGACAACAUUUAUAUGCAAGCGUCUUAGCCGUUGCAAUGCUAUCUUGCAUAGAUUCCCAUUCUUUCUGCAGCUCGCAAACAUCUUCCAACCACUUGAUAACAUCUAGUUUUGGUUUAUAGCCUUCUCCCUCAGCUUCUUCCACCUUUCCUUUGAUAUCAUUUCUAAACUUUGUUAGCUUCUCCAUUUCCUCCUUUAGAUUUUCAAUUUUUGACGAGAAACGGACAAUAUUUUCAAUCUUAGGAUAGAUGCAUUUACAUACAAACUUUCCCACCUCAACAACAAAGCCACCUACAGCAUUAAAAAGUAUAUCCAUUGAACAAUUCUUUAGGUAAAUAAUUUUUUUUUUUUUUCUGAUUAGAACACUAAUGAUGCUCUCAAAGAUGGUCAAUUUAUAAACUGAGUGCUUCUUCAGUAUUUAUAGCACAAUUUUGAGAGAAGGUAAAAAGUAAAAAGUAAAAAGUAAAACAGAAAGCAAAUAGAAUAAGUAAAAUUGAAGGCAAAUAUGAUCAACAAAGCAAUACUUUAUUUUUGUAAAAUAUCUUGUCCCAUUUUGUAAAAUGAUUGUUCCAUUCUUAACUUCAUGAACAGAAUUGUCUUUAUUCUUUUCUUUGAUUCCUAUUUUCAGAAGCAUGAUGAAAUUGAACACGUAGUGCAGAUUGGGUGAGGAAAAAAUGAGAUACGAUUAAUGUCAAAAGUGACCAUUCUGCGAGCAUUUUAUGAACACACGAUAACUCAUGUUUGAUUCCUGUUUUCAGGAGCAUGAAAUCAAACACUCUAUUCUCUGCGGAUUUGAAGGCUUAACCAGAUUGAGAAAAAGAAGGGGAUGUGACCAAGUAGGUUGAAACUCCCGAGGCCGGUCUCAUAUUCAAAUCCCAAUGGAGGCAAAAACACUAGGAC